UACAGAGGUCCCGAGCGUUGUUCGGAUUCACUGGGCGUAAAGGGUGCGUAGGUGGUGGGGUAAGUCUCGUGUGAAAGCUCGCAGCUUAACUGCGAAAAGUCACGGGAUACUAUUCCGCUGGAGGCUUGGAGGGGGGACUGGAAUACUUGGUGUAGCAGUGAAAUGCGUAGAUAUCAAGUGGAACACCAGUGGCGAAGGCGAGUCCCUGGACAAGACCUGACACUGAGGCACGAAAGCCAGGGGAGCAAAC
RNAcentral lists this ribosomal RNA (250 nucleotides) under uncultured bacterium. RNAcentral's name for it is "partial 16S ribosomal RNA". It matches the Rfam family "Bacterial small subunit ribosomal RNA", at positions 524 to 773 of the family's 1533-position model. The record is from RNAcentral.